AACGAACGCUGGCGGCAUGCCUAACACAUGCAAGUCGAACGAGACCUUCGGGCCUAGUGGCGCACGGGUGCGUAACGCGUGGGAACCUGCCCUUAGGUUCGGAAUAACUCCCCGAAAGGGGUGCUAAUACCGGAUAAUGUCUUCGGACCAAAGAUUUUUCGCCUUUGGAUGGGCCCGCGUUGGAUUAGCCAGUUGGUAGGGUAAAAGCCUACCAAGGCGACGAUCCAUAGCUGGUCUGAGAGGAUGAUCAGCCACACUGGGACUGAGACACGGCCCAGACUCCUACGGGAGGCAGCAGUGGGGAAUAUUGGACACUGGGGGAAAGCCUGAUCCAGCAAUGCCGCGUGAGUGAUGAAGGCGUUAGGGUUGUAAAGCUCUUUUACCCGGGAUGAUAAUGACGGUACCGGGAGAAUAAGCUCCGGCUAACUCCGUG
This 433-nucleotide ribosomal RNA is filed under the name uncultured bacterium. RNAcentral's name for it is "partial 16S ribosomal RNA". It matches the Rfam family "Bacterial small subunit ribosomal RNA", at positions 29 to 507 of the family's 1533-position model. The record is from RNAcentral.